CGAGUCGGGCGGACGGCCGCCCGGGCGGUUUUGCCGUCCGGGAGGAAAGUCCGGGCUUCACAGGACAGAGCGCCGGUUAACCGCCGGACGCCGCGAGGCGAUGGAAAGUGCCGCAGAAAACAGACCGCCCGUCCCCGCGAGGGGGCGGGUAAGGGUGAAAAGGCGGUGUAAGAGACCACCGCGGGAGGCGGAGACGUUUCCCGGCAAGGCAAACCCCGCUUGAAGCAAGACAAACAGAAGCGCGGCGGCUUGCGCCGCCGGGGGCAGUCCGGCCCCCGCUUCGGGUGGUUGCUACAGGCGUCCGGCAACGGGCGUCGCAGAUGAAUGGCCGUCCCCGACAGAACCCGGCUUACAGCUCGGCUCGCCUC
RNAcentral lists this RNase P RNA (368 nucleotides) under Candidatus Dadabacteria bacterium. RNAcentral's name for it is "RNase P RNA component class A". It matches the Rfam family "Bacterial RNase P class A". From Rfam's summary of the family: Ribonuclease P (RNase P) is a ubiquitous endoribonuclease, found in archaea, bacteria and eukarya as well as chloroplasts and mitochondria. Its best characterised activity is the generation of mature 5'-ends of tRNAs by cleaving the 5'-leader elements of precursor-tRNAs. Cellular RNase Ps are ribonucleoproteins. Lineage: Bacteria; Pseudomonadati; Thermodesulfobacteriota; Candidatus Dadabacteria. The record is from RNAcentral.